Molecule: small RNA, 128 nt
Filed under: Salmonella enterica
Lineage: Bacteria; Pseudomonadati; Pseudomonadota; Gammaproteobacteria; Enterobacterales; Enterobacteriaceae
Also listed under: 1 other name
Description: RtT sRNA
Rfam family: RtT RNA
About the family: This family represents a bacterial cis-regulatory element known as RtT RNA. The exact function of RtT is unknown although it is thought that it may be involved in changing the cellular response in relation to amino acid starvation.
Source: RNAcentral
UCUCUCUGUACGGGAAGGAUGAGAAGCUUCGACCAGGGUUCGAUUCGAGCGCAGCGAGAAAGCGUUGCCGCAGGCAACGACCCGAAGGGCGAAGCGCGCAGCGCUGAGUCAUCCUUCCCCCACCACCA